Molecule: RNA transcript, 1573 nt
Organism: Populus nigra (black poplar)
Lineage: Eukaryota; Viridiplantae; Streptophyta; Magnoliopsida; Malpighiales; Salicaceae
Gene name: ethylene-responsive transcription factor RAP2-12-like
Exons: 3
Source: RefSeq, a predicted model, not a curated record
UCCAACCAUCUCUACUUAAAUCCCAACAAUCGCUACUUACAAAUUAUUCUCUCUUAGAAGAAAAAGGAAAAUCACCAUCUAACCACUCUCUCUCAAAAAUCUUUUCAAUUACACCCCCGUGAAGCAACCCACUUGUAUAAUCACCAUCAAUCAACAUGUGUGGCGGUGCUAUCAUCUCAGACUUCAUCGCUCCGACAACCACCGCUCGAUCUUCUCGGCGGUUGACCUCGGGCUUUGAGUGGCUUGAGCUGAAGAAACCCUUCAACAGCAAGCACUUGAAGCCAGUUGUUGCUGAUCCCGAAGAUGAUUUUGAGGCUGAUUUUCAAGAGUUUAAGGAUGAGUCUGAUGUCGACGAGGAUUAUGAUGUCUUCGCUGAUGCCAAGCCUUUUGCUUUCUCUGCUAGUGCUUCUGAACCUGCUAAAAAGCUUGGGCUCCCUCGUGGUUCUACUGCUGUUAAAUCUGCUGGAUUCAGUGGACUUGCUGAAAAAUCAGCAAAGAGGAAGAGAAAGAACCAGUUUAGAGGAAUUAGGCAGCGUCCAUGGGGAAAAUGGGCUGCUGAGAUUCGUGAUCCCAGGAAAGGGGUACGUGUCUGGUUGGGAACAUUCAAUACUGCAGAAGAAGCUGCUAGAGCAUAUGAUUCUGAGGCACGUAGAAUUCGAGGCAAGAAAGCUAAGGUGAACUUCCCUGAUGAAGCUCCAUGUGCUUCAGCAAGGCAUCAAAUUAAGGAAAACUCACAGAAACGACUUACAAAGGCAAAUUUAAGCCAGGAUUUUAGUUACUUGAGCAACCCAGAAACUGAUUAUAAUAAUAUGGGCUUUGUGGAAGAGAAACCACAAGUGAGCCAGUUUGGAAUAAUGAAUUCUUUCCCGGCCAAUGGAGAUUCUGGGGUGACGCCCUUGAGUCCUCCUGACAAUCCUUCUAUGUAUUUCAAUUCUGACAACGGGAGCAACUCAUUUGAUUGUGACUUUGGGUGGGGAGAACAAGGCCCUGAAAUCUUGUCUGUUCUUGCAGCAACUCCAGAAGUUGAUGAAGCCGUCUUUGUGGAUGCUAAUCCUAAGAAGUUGAAAUCAUACACUGAGAAUGCAGUGCCUGUUGAAGAGAAGAAUGGAAAAUCUCUGUCCGAAGAGUUGCUGGCUUUUGACAAUCAGUUGAUGAACCUUCAGAUGCCAGAUAUUGUGGGUAACUGGGAGGCUUCUCUUGAUAGCUUCCUUAAUGGAGACACAACUCAGGAUGGCACAAACGCGGUGGACUUGUGGAGCUUCGAAGACUUCCCCUCCAUGGUUGGGGGAGUUUAUUGAGCCUACUUUUCUGUGUUUGCUAGGUUUUGUAAAUAAUAAGGCUACAUGUUAGAAUGGUUGUUUAUCUGAGAUGGGAAUGGAGGACAACACAGCUGAACAUGCUUAAAGCCUCGAUGUGGGAGAAGCAUUCCAGGAGCUUUUUCCAUAUAAAAGUAGUACAUUCGGUUUCCCGUUUCAUUACAUUUUAAGUCAUUGGACUUUGGAAGUUGGAUUCGAUGACUGUAAUUUGACAAUAUUGUGUGAUUUAUUUUGAGAACUGAAGCCUUAAAUUUCAA